AACAAUAACUCUGCCUUUCCCGCCGCUGCGUGCCCUUGAUCCCGUUGCUUUCCCCCAGAAGAGGCUCCAGCCGAGCUCCAAAACGACCCCCAGCCGAGCCGGGCCCAGACAUCCACCCAAGGAACGCCAGGCCUCCCGCUGCUCCUGCUGGGGCUUCACCGUCUGCUGGGACGCGACGGGGCGAGAACAUGGUGCCUCUGGGCUCUCCUGGCGGCUUGUCUAGUGCUCCCCAGCGCCGUCAGGAGUACGAGUGGCCUUCAGGACACCUCUCAGACUAAUAAUGAAACAGAAGGAUCGGUAACAGUCGCCGCGAGGCAUGGGAGCAGAGUCCCGGAACUGGAAGGGCCCUACACUGCGUGUGGAGGAAAUUAUCAACGGCAUCCCGAGUAACGAAAGCAGCACCCAGCCGGUGGCCACACAAGCUGCACACAAGAAGCUCUCAGCCCGCCCCUAGAUGCCACCCCGGAUGCCGGCCUGGUGCACUUCCUUGUACGCCUCCUGGAGAGGGUAGACAAACUGCCGAGAUCAACGAGGUGGACCGCCUGGGCCAGAUGACUGAGGAGUGCGGCGGACUGGACAAGACUGAGGACUGCAGCACCACGACAAUGAGGCCGUGUACGAGAAGGCCCUGGAUGGAUAUCAUCGAGAAGUGUUCCGGCGAGGAGGAGGGCCCCGAGGCGAGCAGCACCACCAGUGGCCAGGCGUACGACUUCUCUGCCGUGAACAACGUGCCUGAGGGUGGAUUCUCUUUCUAGGACUUCAGUGUGUGUGCCUGGCAAGGGAGGAGCAGCAGCAUGCAGGGUGUGUGUGGUCCACGGCGGAAUAAUGUGAUACUGCCUACGCCUUCGCCGAUGAUUCCACUCUGCAUUAUUCAACUUCUUUUAAUAGAAGACCCACCCUUCAGGAACUUAACGACUCAAGGCUGGAGGCUGCAGAACGCUUAGCCUCAGACUUUACUAUUAUUUCCGAUUGGGGCAAGAAGAACCUGGUGUCCUUCAACGCCUCAAAAACACAGUUUCUCCUCCUAUCCACUCGACACAAUCUUCCAAACAAUUAUCCCCUAUUCUUUGACAACACCCAGCUAUCACCUUCCUCAACACUAAACAUCCUCGGUCUAUCCUUAACUCAAAAUCUUAACUGGAAACUUCAUAUCUCAUCUCUUACUAAAUCAGCUUCCUCGAGGCUGGGCGUUCUUUACCGUCUCCGCCAGUUCUUCUCCCCUGCACAGUUGCUGUCCAUAUACAGGGGCCUUGUCCGCCCUCGUAUGGAGUAUGCAUCUCAUGUGUGGGGGGGCUCCACUCACACAGCUCUUCUGGACAGAGGAGGCUAAGGCUCUUCGUCUCAUCAGCUCUCCUCCUCAUACUGAUAGUCUUCUACCUCUUAAAUUCCGCCGCAAUGUUGCCUCUCUUUCUAUCUUCUAUCGAUAUUUCCACGCUGACUGCUCUUCUGAACUUGCUAACUGCAUGCCUCCCCCCCUCCCGCGGCCCCGCUGCACUCGACUUUCUACUCAUGCUCAUCCCUAUACUGUCCAAACCCCUUAUGCAAGAGUUAACCAGCAUCUUCACUCUUUCAUCCCUCACGCUGGUAAACUCUGGAACAAUCUUCCUUCAUCUGUAUUUCCUCCUGCCUACGACUUGAACUCUUUCAAGAGGAGGGUAUCAGGACACCUCUCCUCCCGAAAUUAACCUCUGAUUUUGGACACUCCUUUAACCUCUGUUCGGGAGCAGUGAGUAGCGGGCCUUUUUUUUUUUUUUUUUUUUUCUUUGCGCCCUUGAGCUGUC
Long non-coding RNA from Eriocheir sinensis (Chinese mitten crab), 1781 nucleotides. RefSeq lists it as uncharacterized. The record is from RefSeq and is a predicted model, not a curated record. The transcript is spliced from 3 exons. Lineage: Eukaryota; Metazoa; Arthropoda; Malacostraca; Decapoda; Varunidae.